UAAUCCGGGUUGCGGACAGUGUCUGGUGGGUAGUUUGACUGGGGCGGUCUCCUCCUAAAGAGUAACGGAGGAGCACGAAGGUUGGCUAAUCCUGGUCGGACAUCAGGAGGUUAGUGCAAUGGCAUAAGCCAGCUUGACUGCGAGCGUGACGGCGCGAGCAGGUGCGAAAGCAGGUCAUAGUGAUCCGGUGGUUCUGAAUGGAAGGGCCAUCGCUCAACGGAUAAAAGGUACUCCGGGGAUAACAGGCUGAUACCGCCCAAGAGUUCAUAUCGACGGCGGUGUUUGGCACCUCGAUGUCGGCUCAUCACAUCCUGGGGCUGAAGUAGGUCCCAAGGGUAUGGCUGUUCGCCAUUUAAAGUGGUACGCGAGCUGGGUUUAGAACGUCGUGAGACAGUUCGGUCCCUAUCUGCCGUGGGCGCUGGAGAACUGAGGGGGGCUGCUCCUAGUACGAGAGGACCGGAGUGGACGCAUCACUGGUGUUCGGGUUGUCAUGCCAAUGGCACUGCCCGGUAGCUAAAUGCGGAAGAGAUAAGUGCUGAAAGCAUCUAAGCACGAAACUUGCCCCGAGAUGAGUUCUCCCUGA
Molecule: ribosomal RNA, 583 nt
Filed under: Escherichia coli
Lineage: Bacteria; Pseudomonadati; Pseudomonadota; Gammaproteobacteria; Enterobacterales; Enterobacteriaceae
Description: partial 23S ribosomal RNA
Rfam family: Bacterial large subunit ribosomal RNA
Source: RNAcentral